UUGUUAUUUUCACCUCCAAUCAAGUGUGUGCGUUUGAUCUAUCGUGUUGAAAUUUGUUUUCUUUUUUCUGCAGAAGCGAAAUUAAUACGUGUCCCAUUCCCAACGAACCGAUAUAACAAGAAGAGUUUUUUUUUUUUUUUGGUAAAAGGUUAAACUGAUAUAACAAGAAGAGUUACUACAAAUAUAUAGAUCAAACAACAGUAAGAAAACUUAAAAUCAAGAAAAAACAUUGCCAAAGGUGCCGAAGUUGCCCGGUCAGAGAGAAAGAUGCAUAAUGUUUCAUGUCUUGUCCAUUGUGCUUGCCGUUGACCACCUGCAGACGCUUUCAAGUUGGUCAAAAGCUCGAUCUCUCUUCUCGUCCGAAGAACAUGUUCACCAACUCUUCUUACUAUACCUUAUAGUAGCGGUGGGUGAUCCUUUAAACUGGUUCAAGACAAGAUCAGAAGAAUAAUCAUCGUUAUUAGAAGAAUAGAGGCAAAGAGAAAAAUGAUAAUAAGCAUCAUUAAACGACUAACCAGAAGACCUUCUUCUUGAUAUAAGGGCCCGUCUUUGGUAUUAUUGUUAGCCAUGAUUCAGGGUAUAGAUGGUGAUCAUAAGUUGUUGAAGAUACAUGAAGAGGGUUUUAUAGAAAAUGCAUGUGACUAGAGUAAUGAAACUUGAGAAAAAGUUAUUGCAAAGUGAUGAUGCAUGCUUUUUAAUUUGUACCAUAAAGUAUGCUUUUG
Molecule: long non-coding RNA, 722 nt
Filed under: Capsella grandiflora
Lineage: Eukaryota; Viridiplantae; Streptophyta; Magnoliopsida; Brassicales; Brassicaceae
Description: long non-coding RNA (CGRA_LNC001241)
Source: RNAcentral